Molecule: ribosomal RNA, 503 nt
Filed under: Gaurotes tuberculicollis
Lineage: Eukaryota; Metazoa; Arthropoda; Insecta; Coleoptera; Cerambycidae
Description: partial 16S ribosomal RNA
Rfam family: Archaeal large subunit ribosomal RNA (bases 381-503)
Source: RNAcentral
GUCCUUUUGAUAAUAAUUUAAGGUCUAACCUGCCCACUGAUAAUUUAAAUGGCCGCGGUAUUUUGACCGUGCAAAGGUAGCAUAAUCAUUAGUUUUUUAAUUAAAAGCUGGAAUGAAUGGUUGGAUAAAAAAAAAUCUGUCUCUUUUUAAUUUUUUUAGAAUUUUAUUUUUAAGUUAAAAAGCUUAAAUAUAUUUAAAAGACGAGAAGACCCUAUAGAGUUUAAUAAAAUAGAAUUAUUAAUUUUUAGUAUUAAAAUUUAAUAUUUAAAAUUUUAUUUGAUUGGGGUGAUUAAAAAAUUAAAUAAACUUUUUUUCUUUCUUAACAUUAAUUUAUGAAUAUUUGAUCCUUAAAAAAGAUUAAAAGAUAAAAUUACCUUAGGGAUAACAGCGUAAUUUUUUUUAAGAGUUCUAAUCGAAAAAAAAGAUUGCGACCUCGAUGUUGGAUUAAAAUUAAUUUUUGGUGUAGAAGUUAAAAAUUUAGGUCUGUUCGACCUUUAAAAUUU